Molecule: ribosomal RNA, 500 nt
Filed under: uncultured bacterium
Lineage: Bacteria
Description: partial 16S ribosomal RNA
Rfam family: Bacterial small subunit ribosomal RNA
Source: RNAcentral
AUUGAACGCUGGCGGCAGGCCUAACACAUGCAAGUCGAGCGGAUGAGUGGAGCUUGCUCCAUGAUUCAGCGGCGGACGGGUGAGUAAUGCCUAGGAAUCUGCCUGGUAGUGGGGGACAACGUUUCGAAAGGAACGCUAAUACCGCAUACGUCCUACGGGAGAAAGCAGGGGACCUUCGGGCCUUGCGCUAUCAGAUGAGCCUAGGUCGGAUUAGCUAGUUGGUGGGGUAAAGGCCUACCAAGGCGACGAUCCGUAACUGGUCUGAGAGGAUGGUCAGUCACACUGGAACUGAGACACGGUCCAGACUCCUACGGGAGGCAGCAGUGGGGAAUAUUGGACAAUGGGCGAAAGCCUGAUCCAGCCAUGCCGCGUGUGUGAAGAAGGUCUUCGGAUUGUAAAGCACUUUAAGUUGGGAGGAAGGGCAGUAAGUUAAUACCUUGCUGUUUUGACGUUACCAACAGAAUAAGCACCGGCUAACUUCGUGCCAGCCGCCGCGGUAA